RNAcentral lists this unclassified non-coding RNA (297 nucleotides) under Hevea brasiliensis (rubber tree). Lineage: Eukaryota; Viridiplantae; Streptophyta; Magnoliopsida; Malpighiales; Euphorbiaceae. The record is from RNAcentral.
GCUGUGACAAAGGUUGAAGAAGUGAAUGUGAUGGUAGUGUUGGAGCUGGGGGUGGAGGUGAUGGACCUGGUGGUGUUGGUGUUACUUGUGCUAGUAUUAGAUGGGGAUGAUAAAGAUAUGUACCGAGGAUGGGAUUGAAAUGAUGGGAGCGGUGGCAAUUUGCCUGAAAUGUUCCCGGAAAGUAUUUCCACAAUCCACUUCAUAUUGGGCCGAAGUUGAGGGAUAUGAAGGGUGCAAAGGAGCCCGAGAUGAAUCAACCGUUCCAUAUCAGAGAGUGCAUAGGACCCAUCUGCGAGC